GGAAAGCAGCGUAGGCAAUUUUCCUAGCUCCUCACAUUCACCGUACGCCAGAGCCAGCCAAGACCAAGUUGGAUCCCCAAACUUCCUUCUCUGAUAGUCUCUACCCAAGUGCGUACCGAUGCCUGGGAGCCGCGUCAGCCGCUGGGAGGGCAGCCAGAAAUGUUGGCAGAAACACACCAGCAUUUAACAGGUUUUUCCCAGUGCUGCGGCUGUUGAUGGCAAAGAUUGAGAGAUUGGAAAUGCAGUAGGAAGGUUGUGAAGAUGCAGCAGGCACCGGACAGUGACAGCAGACUUGCAAACCAAGAGCAGCCUAGCUACAAGCAUGGGUGAUGGCUACUCUAAUCACCACCUGUACAGACCUUAGCCCAGGUCUUCCCAGCUGCUGAAACCUCUUCUUACCAGCCCUGCUGCCUGGCUGAGCAGGCAGCUCAGUGCAGGGGACCAAGCUGGAUGGCUGCCCCUUCACUCGCUCCUGCCAGAAACACGUGCUGCACCCCGGCACCCUUGAGCCAGCAUGCAGCCCCUGCCUGUGCACAAAGACCUGCCAACCCCCGCGCAGCCCCGGACGGGCAAGGGGUGAAAUAAGACUCUGUUAAGAAGAGACAGCACACCGCAGAGGGGAGGGCUGAUGGAGCCUGGGCAGCUAUGGGGGGACGGAUCCUGGCCGCCGAGGCAAUGGAGCUGCUAAGACCAGGCUGCGCCUCAAUGGGGCAGGUUAGUCCACACCAGUGCUACCAUAAUCCCCAUGCUGAACUGUGCAAGCCAUGAAUUAAACCCAGGAAAUAAUUAAACAUCAUCUACUUUAACAGCCGCUAGCAGGAAAAUAAAUAAGACAUCCCAACAGAGUAAGAUAGAGUAAUUUCACGUUUACGCUUCCAGGGGAAAAGGGAAUUUGAAACAAACAAACCAUCUUUUUUUUUUCCUGCAGAAAGAGAAAGUCAACUGCCUGUCAAAGCGGGACCGUAGCAACACCCAGGGCUCUGUGCAAAAUUCUUCUGUUUGCUUCUGCAUUUGAUUAGCUGCUUGCGUUAUG
Molecule: long non-coding RNA, 1033 nt
Organism: Tyto alba (common barn owl)
Lineage: Eukaryota; Metazoa; Chordata; Aves; Strigiformes; Tytonidae
Exons: 3
Source: RefSeq, a predicted model, not a curated record